This 559-nucleotide ribosomal RNA is filed under the name uncultured bacterium. RNAcentral describes it as "bacterial SSU rRNA". It matches the Rfam family "Bacterial small subunit ribosomal RNA", at positions 120 to 674 of the family's 1533-position model. The record is from RNAcentral.
GGGAAACUGCCCGAUGGAGGGGGAUAACUACUGGAAACGGUAGCUAAUACCGCAUAACGUCGCAAGACCAAAGUGGGGGACCUUCGGGCCUCACACCAUCGGAUGUGCCCAGAUGGGAUUAGCUAGUAGGUGGGGUAAUGGCUCACCUAGGCGACGAUCCCUAGCUGGUCUGAGAGGAUGACCAGCCACACUGGAACUGAGACACGGUCCAGACUCCUACGGGAGGCAGCAGUGGGGAAUAUUGCACAAUGGGCGCAAGCCUGAUGCAGCCAUGCCGCGUGUAUGAAGAAGGCCUUCGGGUUGUAAAGUACUUUCAGCGGGGAGGAAGGCGGUGAAGUUAAUAGCUUCACCGAUUGACGUUACCCGCAGAAGAAGCACCGGCUAACUCCGUGCCAGCAGCCGCGGUAAUACGGAGGGUGCAAGCGUUAAUCGGAAUUACUGGGCGUAAAGCGCACGCAGGCGGUCUGCCAAGUCGGAUGUGAAAUCCCCGGGCUUAACCUGGGAACUGCAUUCGAAACUGGCAGGCUAGAGUCUUGUAGAGGGGGGUAGAAUUCCAGGU